Molecule: ribosomal RNA, 253 nt
Filed under: uncultured bacterium
Lineage: Bacteria
Description: partial 16S ribosomal RNA
Rfam family: Bacterial small subunit ribosomal RNA
Source: RNAcentral
UACGUAGGGGGCAAGCGUUGUCCGGAUUUAUUGGGCGUAAAGCGCGUGUAGGCGGCCAGGUAGGUCCGUUGUGAAAACUGGAGGCUUAACCUCCAGCUGUCGAUGGAAACCAUCUGGCUAGAGUCCGGAAGAGGAGAGUGGAAUUCCUGGUGUAGCGGUGAAAUGCGCAGAUAUCAGGAAGAACACCCGUGGCUAAGGCGGCUCUCUAGUACGGUACUGACGCUGAGACGCGAAAGCGUGGGGAGCGAACAGG